AGAGUUUGAUCCUGGCUCAGGAUGAACGCUGGCGGCGUGCCUAAUACAUGCAAGUCGAGCGGAAAGGCCUCUUCGGAGGUACUCGAGCGGCGGACGGCAGAGUAACGCGUAGGAGCAUACCCCAAACUGAGGGAUAACUGCCCGAAAGGGUGGCUAAUACCGCAUGUGAUCUUCGGAUUAAAGCUUCGGCGGUUUGGGAAUGGCCUGCGUUCGAUUAGCUAGUUGGUGAGGUAAAGGCUCACCAAGGCGACGAUCGAUAACUGGUCUGAGAGGAUGAUCAGUCUGACUGGAACUGAGACACGGUCCAGACUCCUACGGGAGGCAGCAGUAGGGAAUUUUCCACGAUGGGCGAAAGCCUGACGGAGCAACGCCGCGUGCAGGAUGAAGGCCCUUGGGUCGUAAACUGCUUUUAUGUGAGAAGAAUAUGACGGUAACACAUGAAUAAGGGUCGGCUAACUACGUG
This 463-nucleotide ribosomal RNA is filed under the name uncultured bacterium. RNAcentral describes it as "bacterial SSU rRNA". It matches the Rfam family "Bacterial small subunit ribosomal RNA", at positions 8 to 507 of the family's 1533-position model. The record is from RNAcentral.